UGAAUGGAAGCCUUGUGUGUGGCCCUGUGAUGCUGACUCACCAAGACUCAGGAGAGGGAAAACAUGCAGGGGAUGAAGAAGGGGCCUGUGUGUGCUUUGCCACCACCCCCAAUCCACCCUGCCACCCCGAAUCCCUUUGGGUCAGAGGUUUUCUGAGGACCCCCUGCAUGUUCUGAGGACUUGAGUUCUUUCUGUACCUGUCUGAUCUCAUCUUCAAACCAGUACAAGCCAACUGAAUCAUAAAGCAAACACAGGCAGAUAAUGCUUUCAAGAGAGAAGACAUGUUUGCUACUGGGUGUGGCGACACAGCCCUGUUAUCCCAGUUUCAUGGAUGGUGGAGGAUCAGAGUUAAAGACCAGCUUGUGAUUUCAUUCUGCUGCAAAACUUGUACAGAACGAGCAACCAUUUCUUAUUCAAGUAAAAGCAAUCAGAAUCAG
Fukomys damarensis (Damara mole-rat) is the source of this 437-nucleotide long non-coding RNA. RefSeq lists it as uncharacterized. The record is from RefSeq and is a predicted model, not a curated record. The transcript has 3 exons. Lineage: Eukaryota; Metazoa; Chordata; Mammalia; Rodentia; Bathyergidae.